RNAcentral lists this ribosomal RNA (460 nucleotides) under uncultured bacterium. RNAcentral's name for it is "partial 16S ribosomal RNA". It matches the Rfam family "Bacterial small subunit ribosomal RNA", at positions 338 to 795 of the family's 1533-position model. The record is from RNAcentral.
CCUACGGGAGGCAGCAGUGAGGAAUAUUGGUCAAUGGGCUUACGCCUGAACCAGCCAAGUCGCGUGAGGGAAGACUGCCCUAUGGGUUGUAAACCUCUUUUGUCAGGGAGCAAUUGGCGCUACGUGUAGCGUUAUCGAGAGUACCUGAAGAAAAAGCAUCGGUUAACUCCGUGCCAGCAGCCGCGGUAAUACGGAGGAUGCGAGCGUUAUCCGGAUUUAUUGGGUUUAAAGGGUGCGUAGGCGGAAUGCCAAGUCAGCGGUAAAAUCGCGGGGCUCAACCUCGCUCCGCCGUUGAAACUGGCGGUCUUGAGUGGGCGAGAAGUAUGCGGAAUGCGUGGUGUAGCGGUGAAAUGCAUAGAUAUCGCGCAGAACUCCGAUUGCGAAGGCAGCAUACCGGCGCCCAACUGACGCUGAAGCACGAAAGCGUGGGUAUCGAACAGGAUUAGAUACCCGUGUAGUC